CACCGGCGGCUCGAGUGGUAACCGGUAUUAUUGGGUCUAAAGGGUCUGUAGCCGGCCGGAUAAGUCUCUUGAGAAAUCUGGCAGCUUAACUGUCAGGCUUUCAGGAGAUACUGUCUGGCUCGAGGCCGGGAGAGGUGAGAGGUACUUCAGGGGUAGGGGUGAAAUCUUGUAAUCCUUGAAGGACCACCAGUGGCGAAGGCGUCUCACCAGAACGGACCUGACGGCAAGGGACGAAAGCUAGGGGCACGAACCGG
Molecule: ribosomal RNA, 254 nt
Filed under: uncultured bacterium
Lineage: Bacteria
Description: partial 16S ribosomal RNA
Rfam family: Archaeal small subunit ribosomal RNA
Source: RNAcentral